CCUAGGGUCGUAAAGCUCUUUCGCCAGGGAUGAUAAUGACAGUACCUGGUAAAGAAACCCCGGCUAACUCCGUGCCAGCAGCCGCGGUAAUACGGAGGGGGUUAGCGUUGUUCGGAAUUACUGGGCGUAAAGCGCGCGUAGGCGGGUUGUUAAGUUAGAGGUGAAAUCCCGGGGCUCAACCCCGGAACUGCCUUUAAUACUGGCAACCUAGAGUUCGAGAGAGGUGAGUGGAAUUCCGAGUGUAGAGGUGAAAUUCGUAGAUAUUCGGAGGAACACCAGUGGCGAAGGCGGCUCACUGGCUCGAUACUGACGCUGAGGUGCGAAAGUGUGGGGAGCAAACAGGAUUAGAUACCCUGGUAGUCCACACCGUAAACGAUGAAUGCCAGUCGUCGGGUAGCAUGCUAUUCGGUGACACACCUAACGGAUUAAGCAUUCCGCCUGGGGAGUACG
Molecule: ribosomal RNA, 450 nt
Filed under: uncultured Alphaproteobacteria bacterium
Lineage: Bacteria; Pseudomonadati; Pseudomonadota; Alphaproteobacteria
Description: bacterial SSU rRNA
Rfam family: Bacterial small subunit ribosomal RNA
Source: RNAcentral